RNAcentral lists this ribosomal RNA (497 nucleotides) under uncultured bacterium. RNAcentral's name for it is "partial 16S ribosomal RNA". It matches the Rfam family "Bacterial small subunit ribosomal RNA", at positions 28 to 507 of the family's 1533-position model. The record is from RNAcentral.
GAUGAACGCUGGCGGCGUGCCUAAUACAUGCAAGUCGAGCGAACGGGCGAGAAGCUUGCUUCUCUGAUGUUAGCGGCGGACGGGUGAGUAACACGUGGAUAACCUACCUAUAAGACUGGGAUAACUUCGGGAAACCGGAGCUAAUACCGGAUGAUAUUUUGAACCGCAUGGUUCAAAAGUGAAAGACGGUCUUGCUGUCACUUAUAGAUGGAUCCGCGCUGCAUUAGCUAGUUGGUAAGGUAACGGCUUACCAAGGCAACGAUGCAUAGCCGACCUGAGAGGGUGAUCGGCCACACUGGAACUGAGACACGGUCCAGACUCCUACGGGAGGCAGCAGUAGGGAAUCUUCCGCAAAGGGCGAAAGCCUGACGGAGCAACGCCGCGUGAGUGAUGAAGGUCUUCGGAUCGUAAAACUCUGUUAUUAGGGAAGAACAUAUGUGUAAGUAACUGUGCACAUCUUGACGGUACCUAAUCAGAAAGCCACGGCUAACUACGUG